UGCGUCUAUGACAAAAAUAUUUUUUGCUUUAGAUGAGACUUAAACGUAAGCAAGGUCUAGGUUUACCUUGCAAUAAUAGUUUCGUGUUGAUUUAAAAAUAUUUCUGUUUCUGACAUUGAUUUAAUAUUGUUUUGUAUACUAAAUCUGUAGGUAUUGAAAUGCUUACACAAAGCAAUAGUACCCUUCCCUAAACGAGCCCCUAAUUUUGCGGAAAAGCUAUGUGAAAUUAAAUCGACCCUGUACUUAUUCUUGUUAAUUGAACUUUAUAUUAUAUUUGGUAUAUAAAAAAAGAAAAAAAGAGGAGGAUAUGAACCCCUGCCUCAGUCUAUUCAUACAUAUAUAUGCAGGUGAACAUAUGUCUGUAGGUAGUUUAAUAUGAAAGAUUUCAAAAGCCAAUUAAGAAAGUUUCAGAAUCGAGACGACUAUGUGCAAUUUAAUUUUAGUCUAACAUUGAAUAUGGCUUGUAGACUCAACAAUAAUUUCAACAUUUUGAACGUGACGUCACGACAAAUGGUUACAUGCCAUUAUUCCGACGGCCCAUUAGUCCGAUAGCCCAUUGGUCCGACAACCCAUUAGUCCGACAACCCAAUAGUCCGAUAACACAUUGCUCCGAC
RNAcentral lists this long non-coding RNA (614 nucleotides) under Mytilus galloprovincialis (Mediterranean mussel). Lineage: Eukaryota; Metazoa; Mollusca; Bivalvia; Mytilida; Mytilidae. The record is from RNAcentral.